This 1317-nucleotide ribosomal RNA is filed under the name Ceratomyxa sp. 5 PBS-2017. RNAcentral describes it as "bacterial SSU rRNA". It matches the Rfam family "Eukaryotic small subunit ribosomal RNA", at positions 381 to 1631 of the family's 1831-position model. Lineage: Eukaryota; Metazoa; Cnidaria; Myxozoa; Bivalvulida; Ceratomyxidae. The record is from RNAcentral.
GAUUCCGGAGAGGGAGCCUUAGAAACGGCUACCACGUCCAAGGAAGGCAGCAGGCGCGCAAAUUACCCACUCUAGAUACUGGGAGGUAGUGACGAGAAAUAAUGGGGGCACCCCAAAGGGGCGCCGUCUGUAAUGAACGAAACACAAAAGCGUCGGUGAGGACCUACUGGAGGGCAAGUCUGGUGCCAGCAGCCGCGGUAAUUCCAGCUCCAGUAGUGUAUAUCAACAUUGUUGCGCUUAAAACGCUCGUAGUUGGGUUGCAGAUCGUAGGGCUCCCGUUGUUUAUAGCGGGAGUCUAUUGUUGGUUUGAGGUGGCUCCCCCUCUUUUAUCAAAAUAAAAGAAARAACCAUCAAAGACCAUUACSUGAUUGUAUAUCGGGUGKAAAGUCAACUUUGAUUAGUUAACUUUAUCACGUCCCGGUAAAGUGUGCCUUGAGUAAAGCAUAAUGCUAAAAGUAAGCUGAGUGUAGCUAGAGUGUAAUAGCAUGGAACGAAUAAUGACCCUAGGGUGCAGCGACUCUUGCAAAAGAAGAGCUGAGCCCGUCUCGACCAUGACGCGAGGGGUCUAAAUGACCAAGAGGAAAGUUUGCGGGCACUCGUACUUUGGGGCGAGAGGUGAAAUUCUUAGACCCCCAAAAGACGGACUACUGCGAAGGCAUUUGCCAAAGAUGUUUCCGUUAAUCAAGAACGAAGGUCAGAGGAUCGAAGACGAUCAGAUACCGUCCUAGUUUUGACAGAAAACUCUGCCGGCGUAGGUGGGCGGCGAUCACUCGAAAAGAGACGAAUCACCGCGGACCUUAGGGGAAACCUGAGCUUUCGGGCUGCUGGGAGAAUAUUGCUGCAAGGCUGAAAUUUAAAGAAAUUGACGGAGAGGCACCACCAGGAGUGGAGCUUGCGGCUUAAUUUGACUCAACACGGGGAAACUCACCGGGUCCAGACAUUGGAAGGAUUGACAGAGUGGUGGAUCUUUCAUGAUUCAGUGAAUGGUGGUGCAUGGCCGUUCUUAGUUGGUGGAGUGAUCUGUCAGGUUUAUUCCGGUAACGAGCGAGACCGCGGUCUUUACUUGUAUUAUCCAGCGUCUCCCUUGCUCACUAGCGUGUUUAAGGACGGGAACUGUGUAAAUAAAUAAAGAGACAAUCGGUGCAAAGCCGGCGGAAGCGCGGCAAUAACAGGUCUGUGAUGCCCUGCGAUGUCCUGGGCUGCACGCGUGCUACAAUGGCAGGAAAAGAAGGCAGCUGGCCCGAGUGGGUUGGCGAAGCGCGAAUACCUGCCGCGAUGGGGACUGAGCCUUGCAAUUAUUGCUCACGAAAGAGGAAU